This 378-nucleotide unclassified non-coding RNA is filed under the name uncultured Caryophanales bacterium. RNAcentral's name for it is "uncultured Bacillales bacterium contains 16S-23S intergenic spacer region". Lineage: Bacteria; Bacillati; Bacillota; Bacilli; Caryophanales. The record is from RNAcentral.
UCCGGUUUGUCACCGGCAGUCACCCUAGAGUGCCCGCCUCAACGCGCUGGCAACUAAGGUCAAGGGUUGCGCUCGUUGCGGGACUUAACCCAACAUCUCACGACACGAGCUGACGACAACCAUGCACCACCUGUCUCCCCUGUCCCGAAGGCCUACGAUAUCUCUACCGUAUUCAGGGGGAUGUCAAGACCUGGUAAGGUUCUUCGCGUUGCUUCGAAUUAAACCACAUGCUCCACUGCUUGUGCGGGUCCCCGUCAAUUCCUUUGAGUUUCAGCCUUGCGGCCGUACUCCCCAGGCGGAGUGCUUAUUGGGUUUCCUUCGGCACCGCAGGGGCAAUCCCCGCAACACCUAGCACUCAUCGUUUACGGCAUGGACUAC